UCCCUGAUAGCUCAGUUGGCAAAGAAUCUGCCUGCAAUGCAGGAGACCCUGGUUCAAUCCUGGGUUGGGAAG
Molecule: non-coding RNA, 72 nt
Organism: Bos taurus (domestic cattle)
Lineage: Eukaryota; Metazoa; Chordata; Mammalia; Artiodactyla; Bovidae
Source: Rfam